GAUUCUUCAGAUCAGCUCACGCUAUCUAUCGGAUCGUUUUAGAAACAUUCAGGGGCCAACAGUUUCAGGAUUGUUGAGCUCCAUUGGCGGGAUUUCGCCGUCUUCGUUUCUCUUUCUUCGCGGACGAACACGCGCCAGGGGCUGAGCGCUGUGCGGUGCACCGACUAAGCGUCGCGUGCGCGCCGGCAUGUCUCUCGUGUUAGGGGCUUGUAGCUCAGUUGGUUAGAGCGCGCGCUUGAUAAGCGUGAGGUCGGAAGUUCAAGUCUUCCCAGGCCCACCAUUUUGAUCGAGUGCGGAGCAUUCGUCUUCUGGUACGGGGCCAUAGCUCAGCUGGGAGAGCGCGUGCUUUGCAAGCAUGAGGUCGUCGGUUCGAUCCCGUCUGGCUCCACCAGAUGGUUUGAUCACCAACGGCGUUACCGUCGUCCGCGAAACAUCACUUCGCACUCAUUGGUCCGGAUGGACGGUGACGUGCGUGUUUUCUGACAUCGUAAAGAGGAGAUCGAUCCGAGUUUGGAUCAAGCGAAGCAAUUCGUCUGAACCAUUCAUUAUCUCCGGGAUCAUUUCGGCGCUCGCGCAUCGCAGUUCAUCGCAAGAUGAGUGGGGUGAGCGGGUUGUAAAUGAUCUCUUUUAGCGAAGCUUGACCGCCUCGCUAUCGGGCCGAUCUUACGAAGCAAGCUGGUCUUUCUAGUCAAUGUCCGGCUGCGCAAUCGCAUUCAUCGAGGAUGCGUGCCUGGGACUUCGGUCUUCGGGCAGUUGCGCAGACAACAUUCUGCCGAGUGUGUGGACAUUGAUAAUGAGAGCAAUCAAGUGCCUUAAGGGUGUUCGGUGGAUGCCUUGGCGCUGAGAGGCGAUGAAGGACGUGCUACGCUGCGAUAAGCCGUGGGGAGCUGCGAAGAAGCUUUGAUCCGCGGAUU
RNAcentral lists this unclassified non-coding RNA (914 nucleotides) under Bradyrhizobium sp. TUTSAWI-16. RNAcentral describes it as "partial contains 16S-23S ribosomal RNA intergenic spacer and 23S ribosomal RNA". The stretch from base 802 to 914 matches the Rfam family "Bacterial large subunit ribosomal RNA", at positions 1 to 112 of the family's 2925-position model. Lineage: Bacteria; Pseudomonadati; Pseudomonadota; Alphaproteobacteria; Hyphomicrobiales; Nitrobacteraceae. The record is from RNAcentral.